RNAcentral lists this transfer RNA (69 nucleotides) under Anisakis simplex (herring worm). It matches the Rfam family "tRNA". From Rfam's summary of the family: Transfer RNA (tRNA) molecules are approximately 80 nucleotides in length. Their secondary structure includes four short double-helical elements and three loops (D, anti-codon, and T loops). The record is from Rfam by way of RNAcentral. Lineage: Eukaryota; Metazoa; Nematoda; Chromadorea; Rhabditida; Anisakidae.
GCACCGAUAGCUCAGAGGUAGAGCACCCAACCGGUAAUUGGUACGUCGUGGGUUCGAUUCCUGUUUGCG